AGUGAACGCUGGCGGUAGGCCUAACACAUGCAAGUCGAACGGCAGCACAGUAAGAGCUUGCUCUUACGGGUGGCGAGUGGCGGACGGGUGAGGAAUACAUCGGAAUCUACUUUUUCGUGGGGGAUAACGUAGGGAAACUUACGCUAAUACCGCAUACGACCUACGGGUGAAAGCAGUGGAUCUUCGCACCUUGCGCGAUUGAAUGAGCCGAUGUCGGAUUAGCUAGUUGGCGGGGUAAAGGCCCACCAAGUCGACGAUCCGUAGCUGGUCUGAGAGGAUGAUCGGCCACACUGGAACUGAGACACGGUCCAGGCGACUACGGGAGGGAGCAGAGGGGAAUAUUGGACAGUGGGCGCAAGCAUGAUACAGUCAUCCCGCGUGGGUGAAGAAGGCCUUCGGGUUGUAAAGCCCGUUUGUUGGGAAAGAAAAGCAGCAGGUUGAUACCCCGCUGUUCUGACGGUACCCAAAGAAUAAGCACCGGCUAACUUCGUG
RNAcentral lists this ribosomal RNA (492 nucleotides) under uncultured bacterium. RNAcentral's name for it is "partial 16S ribosomal RNA". It matches the Rfam family "Bacterial small subunit ribosomal RNA", at positions 29 to 507 of the family's 1533-position model. The record is from RNAcentral.